RNAcentral lists this ribosomal RNA (763 nucleotides) under fungal endophyte. Its description in RNAcentral is "eukaryotic LSU rRNA". The stretch from base 504 to 763 matches the Rfam family "Eukaryotic large subunit ribosomal RNA", at positions 1 to 258 of the family's 3401-position model. Lineage: Eukaryota; Fungi. The record is from RNAcentral.
UUAAAUUCAGUAGCUUGCUACUGUUAGGGGGGUCUAUUAGUCUGUAUAGUAUCACUACUGAUGAGCAGCACGACCCUCUGUCUAUACCCUUGUCUUUUGCGCACUCAUGUUUCCUCGGCGGCUUUAUACCCGCCGGCUGGAUCAAUCUAUAACCUUUUUAAUUUUCAAUCAGCGUCUGAAAAACCUAAUAAUUACAACUUUCAACAACGGAUCUCUUGGUUCUGGCAUCGAUGAAGAACGCAGCGAAAUGCGAUAAGUAGUGUGAAUUGCAGAAUUCAGUGAAUCAUCGAAUCUUUGAACGCACAUUGCGCCCCUUGGUAUUCCAUGGGGCAUGCCUGUUCGAGCGUCAUUUGUACCCUCAAGCUCUGCUUGGUGUUGGGUGUUUGUCCACUAUCGUGGACUCGCCUUAAAGUCAUUGGCAGCCAGUGUUUUGGUAUUGAAGCGCAGCACAUUUUGCGCCUCUAGCCUAGAACACUAGCGUCCAGUAAGCCUUUUUCCACUUUUGACCUCGGAUCAGGUAGGGAUACCCGCUGAACUUAAGCAUAUCAAUAAGCGGAGGAAAAGAAACCAACAGGGAUUGCCCUAGUAACGGCGAGUGAAGCGGCAACAGCUCAAAUUUGAAAUCUGGCUCUUUUAGAGUCCGAGUUGUAAUUUGCAGAGGGCGCUUUGGCGUUGGCAGCGGUCCAAGUUCUUUGGAACAGGACGUCACAGAGGGUGAGAAUCCCGUACGUGGUCGCUAGCCUUCGCCGUGUAAAGCCCCUUC